This 76-nucleotide transfer RNA is filed under the name Anoxybacillus flavithermus. RNAcentral's name for it is "tRNA-Asp". It matches the Rfam family "tRNA". From Rfam's summary of the family: Transfer RNA (tRNA) molecules are approximately 80 nucleotides in length. Their secondary structure includes four short double-helical elements and three loops (D, anti-codon, and T loops). Further hydrogen bonds mediate the characteristic L-shaped molecular structure. tRNAs have two regions of fundamental functional importance: the anti-codon, which is responsible for specific mRNA codon recognition, and the 3' end, to which the tRNAs corresponding amino acid is attached (by aminoacyl-tRNA synthetases). tRNAs cope with the degeneracy of the genetic code in two manners: having more than one tRNA (with a specific anti-codon) for a particular amino acid; and 'wobble' base-pairing, i.e. permitting non-standard base-pairing at the 3rd anti-codon position. RNAcentral also lists the same sequence under 3 other names. Lineage: Bacteria; Bacillati; Bacillota; Bacilli; Caryophanales; Anoxybacillaceae. The record is from RNAcentral.
GGUCCCGUAGUGUAGUGGUUAACAUGCCUGCCUGUCACGCAGGAGAUCGCGGGUUCGAGUCCCGUCGGGGCCGCCA